GGGCACGACACCGGAGAGGGAGCCUGAGAAACGGCUACCACAUCCAAGGAUGGCAGCAGGCGCGCAAAUUACCCAAUCCCGACACGGGGAGGUAGUGACAAUAAAUAACAAUACGGGGUUCUUUCGGAUCUCGUAAUUGGAAUGAGUACAAUUUAAAUCUCUUAACGAGGAACAAUUGGAGGGCAAGUCUGGUGCCAGCAGCCGCGGUAAUUCCAGCUCCAAUAGCGUAUAUUAAAGUUGUUGCAGUUAAAAAGCUCGUAGUUGAAUUUCGGGGUUAGUAGGUUGGUCAUGCCUCUGGUAUGUACUGGUCUCACUGAUUCCUCCUUCCUGAUGAACCGUAAUGCCAUUAAUUUGGUGUUGCGGGGAAUUUGGACUGUUACUUUGAAAAAAUUAGAGUGUUUAAAGCAAGCUAACGCUUGAAUACAUUAGCAUGGAAUAAUGAAAUAGGACGUUCGAUCCUAUUUUGUUGGUUUCUAGGAUUGACGUAAUGAUUAAUAGGGAUAGUUGGGGGCAUUAGUAUUCAAUUGUCAGAGGUGAAAUUCUUGGAUUUAUUGAAGACUAACUACUGCGAAAGCAUUUGCCAAGGAUGUUUUCAUUAAUCAAGAACGAAAGUUAGGGGAUCGAAGACGAUCAGAUACCGUCGUAGUCUUAACCAUAAACUAUGCCGACUAGGG
RNAcentral lists this ribosomal RNA (674 nucleotides) under uncultured Glomeromycotina. RNAcentral's name for it is "SSU rRNA". It matches the Rfam family "Eukaryotic small subunit ribosomal RNA", at positions 373 to 1051 of the family's 1831-position model. Lineage: Eukaryota; Fungi; Glomeromycota. The record is from RNAcentral.